Non-coding RNA from Araneus ventricosus, 72 nucleotides. The record is from the annotation of a GenBank genome assembly. Lineage: Eukaryota; Metazoa; Arthropoda; Arachnida; Araneae; Araneidae.
GCGUCGGUUGUUCAACGGUUAGAAUAGCUGUUUCCCGAACAGUUGACCCGUUUUCGACUCCCGGCCGAAGCA